GUAUUUUCUAAUUCCUGACGGUGUAAACGCUUCGCUUGUUCGCCCGUUGGAUUUCACGAGAAGAAAUGAGAGGAGGAAAUCUCGUGACACAUAUGUGAGGAAAAUUCACCGAACAUCCGCAACACUUACGUCAAGACUUGCAAAAGUUUCAAAUAGAAUUGAAAUUAUUCCUACAAGAGAGCGAUGGCUUUAAAGGACCUGAAAUUAUUCCGGUUUCUCGAUUCGCGGUCAAAUUUCCGCGGGCUCUAACGUCGAUGCCGCGAACCUAAUUUUCCGUUGAAUUUUCCUCAUCCCGGUGCAUCCGGAAACACAAUGGCCGAAUUACGAGCCGUAUGCGUCGCCCUACGCGGAAAGGGGGAGAAUUACGGCCCAAUGAAAGUAUAAAAUGUCGCUCGUUAACGGAGCCAAUGCCAGAAAUCGCUGAAACUCGCUGGCAAUAAAAGGUAACGAGUAUUCGCGGGCUGUAAACAUCCGCGGAACGCUACUCCGGAACAUUUCAUAAUCCUGUUACGAGGCACUUUGACUUUCGUGGCCAGCUGCGGUGUGCGCGCGCGUAUAUACGUGUGGUGCGCGCGCGGGGAUUGGAAAUAAAAUUCUGCUAUCGAGGUGCAAGUAACGGCGCGGCGUUGCCGUACCGUGUAAGAUUGUUGCAUCGUGGGAAAAUGUAAAGGAGGAGAGAGAAUAAUUGUCGGUGGUCCUGCGGCGCGCGCGCGCGCGCGCGCGCGCGUGUGUGUGUGUGUGUGUGUGCACGGAGUGCGAAUUUAAGAUUCCUUCUGUCGCGUUAGACGGUCUUCUCGUGACACUCGACUCCGGCCGAGUUAUGAGACCAACGAAAAUAACAUGUGCUACCGAUCGCUUUUAUCGCGUCUUCAUCUAUUAUAAAAAUGCUUAUCUAUCUCUUAUAUCUAACACAGUCCCGAUUGCGUACAAUUCUUAUCGGAUUGAUACUCGACGGAACGUUUUAAUAUCCGUGACAUAUGUCCUGUAUCACAGAAGGGAUUUUCACAUUCGCAUUUCUAAAUUUAAUAUUUCUAAUAUUAAAUUCAUAAUCAAUAAUUAACAACAGUCUUCUUUAAUGUUAACUAAAAAGAAAUUGAAUCUAGAUUGAUCAAAGAUUUAUUAAUAAGUUCUGUACAUAUUGAAGGUGAUAUUUGUCAGAACUGAAGGUAGUUUAAUCAUUCGGUAAUUGACUAUUCGCUACUCUCGUUUAUCGAGUCGGAAAAAUUCAGAUGACGUAAAUUUUUCAUUAGCACGGCAAAUUUCUGCCGGCAAAACGAGCGGUCCACGGUGCGUCGCUAACGUAUGAGCUCAGCUGUCUCUUUUUCGAGGUAACACGAUAUCCUGGAGGAACCUAAUGUCGAGCAAGCGGAGGUAACACCGACCGAAUGACGGACGGUCCGAGUGGGCCUUUCGUGUAAUGGACGGCUCAAAUAUUUAUCAUCGGCCGCGUAAUUUAAGGUGCGUUUAGCAAACGGAAGACGACGCGAGGAAAAACAAACAGGACAGGGGCGGUGUAGCAUAGCCGGCGAGAAGGAAAGAACGGAGCGACGGCGAACGAGGAGGAAGAAGAGAUGGUGGUGGAGAAGGAGGAGGAGGAGGAGGAGGAGGAUGAGCGGGGAUGCUGAGGGGGGUCAACAACGAUAAGCAGGAGCGAGAAGGCGCCGAGGACGAGAGAGGCGGAAAGAGUAGCUCAAAGGGGCCGCCGCGGGGUCUAGAGAGCCUUGUGAGAAGGCGCAAACCCCAAUAAUAGCACCAGAAUUUAUAUACCUGCACGAACUCGGUGGAGAACGGUCCCGCUGGAAGGGUCCGCCGACCCAGGGACGGCUCAUUGGACAAUACUCCGCGUCGCUUCUGGACAAUACUCUCAGCGAUGUUCGCGUGUCCGUUUUCACGUCGGCCUUCGGUAACUUCGGAAUGUUAAGUUACAAGAAAUCGCGCCGGACGAUUCGUCUACAAGUUUAGCCGGAGGAUUUAUGAUAUUCUUCGAAAGGAAAAGAGAUCGCGCGUUUGAAAAGAGCGCAUAUACCUUCAAUGAUUCGUACGACGACGUUUGCGUUUCGCGUCCUGGUAGUCCUGCCGGGAGGGAUGUACACAACGCACUUCGAUUCGGAUACCCGUGUUUCUCUCAAAGCUGAGCGGCCCUGGGUUUCGCUGUCGUCUAGCAUCCUUUAAAUAGACGAAGAAGCUGAGGAACGGAAUGAGGGAGAGAGUAGAGGAUUCGUGGCAGCCUGGAGAACGAAUCAUCCAUCACGGAUGGCUCAAAGCCGUAUCUUCUAGUGGUCGGUGCCCGCCGGUACUGGAUGCCGCAGCGUGGCCAAAUAUUGUGAAAGGUCCAGAAAAGGCAGGAACGUGAAAUAAAUUUGCUGCGCCGAUGUGAGAGGAAAGACGGAAGGGCAGAGGAGACGGAGGGAGGGAGAGAGAAAGAGAAAGAAAGGGAGAGGAGAGAAACGGUAGAAAAAAGCGAGAACAUUGGUCUCCCUCCCUUCUGGUCAGCUCGAAACGUUGCGUCUUGUACUUGUGCGUGUCGAGAUGGAGAGACGAAGAAGGCUCUUUAACCACUGUCGGCUCUUUGAACCCUGCCGAUCUCUCUCGCGCGCUCUCCUUCUCUCUCUUCCUCUCUCGUUUUCUCUCCCUUCUUUUCUCUCGUCGUUUCGUGCCGUCUCUGCCCUGCCGCGCUAUCAUUUUCCUUCUCUUUCCAUCUCUUUGUCUCUUUUGCCUUCAAUAUCUGAUUCGCGUUCAUACACAAACCGAAGUUGGUAAUGUCAUUUACACUUUACACAUGAAAAUAUCAUUUAUUGUUCCAGCCAAUUAUGUCCCAUCCAAUCUCUCAUCAGCUCGAUUUGUAUCAAGGCACCUUCCUCGUUUUUUUUUCUUUUUUUUUUUUCAAGUAAAAAGAACGCGUCAGGUUUUUACAUAAACCAUCUGUCUGGCAUACAUUCGCCGACGAUCGACUCAAAAGGAAAUCUCCUCUGCGGAUGAUAGCUCUCGUCCAAUAAUUGAAUUUUCACAGUACGUUAUAACGUGAAGCGGCGCAGUGCUUUUUACACGCACGUUCUUUUUUCGGGCAUGGGACUCUAACUCGAUAGCUAUAGGCCUCACAAUGUUCUCCGCUAUAAUUUUACAGUUUACAUCAAGGGACGCCGAGACAGGACAUUUUACCGCAAGAAAAAUUAUGGCAAAAUUAUGGAAGGACCGGUUAAUCGCGCGGAGAAUUCGCGAGGAGCAAAUUGUCACCGGAUAUCAGUUUUAACAUCCGGUAUCUCGUGAUUCCAAAGCUUAACUCUCUUGAAGGAAACACGAUCUUGCAUCCUCGAAGCCGCUAUCCUCCCUCGGAUGUUCCAUGCUGACGCUUGUUAACGCAGCAGCACCUUGACCGUGCUCUCAGCCCAUAAUUUUCUCCGCGAACGUCACGGAUCCCCUCUCGCUGGUGGAUUAAUAAUCUAGAGUGAUCUCUCUCUUUCUCUCUUUCUCUCUCUACAUAUUUUUUCUCUUUCUCUCGCAAGGAGCGAAAACACGAUACGACGUGAGGGCAGCGUUAGAACGAGGGGCCGAUAAGAGGACGGGAGAAAGAGGUGAAGGAAGAAAAAGAAAGCUGGAUAGAACAAGGAAUAGAGAGAGAGAGAGAGAGAGAGAGAGAGAAGAAAACGUGGAAGGGUACACACAGCGAUCGUAGCUCGUAAGUUAGCACGUGGUCGAGUCAAGCCGUGCGAAGGAAACCGAGAAGCAGGAAAGGAGAGGUGGAACGAGUCAAGCGGGCUCACUACCUCAUCUCGCUUCUUCAACCACUGACGUAGAUGGAAUUCUAAGUAGCCCUCGUGUCGACGUGAUCUCAGGAAGCCUUGCUGCAGACGUUAUCGGCUGAUUGCGAUAAUUUACGAUAAGUAACCAGAGAGAAGGAUUAAAUAACGUGAGAGAUCUCUAAA
Long non-coding RNA from Monomorium pharaonis (pharaoh ant), 3923 nucleotides. RefSeq lists it as uncharacterized. The record is from RefSeq and is a predicted model, not a curated record. NCBI's taxonomy places the organism in Eukaryota, Metazoa, Arthropoda, Insecta, Hymenoptera, Formicidae. The transcript has 2 exons.